Molecule: small nuclear RNA, 104 nt
Organism: Microtus oregoni (creeping vole)
Lineage: Eukaryota; Metazoa; Chordata; Mammalia; Rodentia; Cricetidae
Source: RefSeq, a predicted model, not a curated record
GUGCUCAAUUCAGCAGCACAUAUGCUAAAAUUGGAACAAUAUAGAGAUUGUCAUGGCCCCUGUACAAGGAUGACAUGUAAAUUUAUGAAGCAUUUUAUAAUUUU